GCUCCGGGGGAUUAGUGGCGAACGGGUGAGUAACACGUGAGUAACCUGCCCUUGACUCUGGGAUAACCUCCGGAAACGGAAGCUAAUACCGGAUAUGACGUACGGAGGCAUCUCCUGUACGUGGAAAGAACUUCGGUCAAGGAUGGACUCGCGGCCUAUCAGGUAGUUGGUGAGGUAACGGCUCACCAAGCCUACGACGGGUAGCCGGCCUGAGAGGGUGACCGGCCACACUGGGACUGAGACACGGCCCAGACUCCUACGGGAGGCAGCAGUGGGGAAUAUUGCACAAUGGGCGCAAGCCUGAUGCAGCAACGCCGCGUGAGGGACGACGGCCUUCGGGUUGUAAACCUCUUUUAGUAGGGAAGAAGCGAAAGUGACGGUACCUGCAGAAAAAGCACCGGCUAACUACGUGCCAGCAGCCGCGGUAAUACGUAGGGUGCGAGCGUUGUCCGGAAUUAUUGGGCGUAAAGAGCUCGUAGGCGGUCUGUCGCGUCUGCUGUGAAAACCCGAGGCUCAACCUCGGGCCUGCAGUGGGUACGGGCAGACUAGAGU
RNAcentral lists this ribosomal RNA (552 nucleotides) under Leifsonia lichenia. RNAcentral's name for it is "bacterial SSU rRNA". It matches the Rfam family "Bacterial small subunit ribosomal RNA", at positions 81 to 647 of the family's 1533-position model. Lineage: Bacteria; Bacillati; Actinomycetota; Actinomycetes; Micrococcales; Microbacteriaceae. The record is from RNAcentral.